UGCUCAUCCAGAGGGGCAGAGGGAUCGGCCCGAAGAAGCCCCGGCAACCAUGCGUUCACCGUUCAGGUGUCGCACACGGUGCCAAUUCCGACCGGCGGAAGCCGGAAAGAUGAGGA
RNAcentral lists this non-coding RNA (116 nucleotides) under Kibdelosporangium aridum. Its description in RNAcentral is "SAM-I sequence". It matches the Rfam family "SAM riboswitch aptamer (S box leader)". Rfam says of the family: The SAM riboswitch is found upstream of a number of genes which code for proteins involved in methionine or cysteine biosynthesis in Gram-positive bacteria. The SAM riboswitch acts at the level of transcription termination control. The predicted structure consists of a complex stem-loop region followed by a single stem loop terminator region. The record is from Rfam by way of RNAcentral. Lineage: Bacteria; Bacillati; Actinomycetota; Actinomycetes; Pseudonocardiales; Pseudonocardiaceae.